GAACGCUGAAGCCCUGUGUGCUUGCACGGAGGUGGAUGAGUGGCGAACGGGUGAGUHACACGUGAUUNACCUGCCCCCGACUUCGGGAUAAGCCCGGGAAACUGGGUCUAAUACCGGAUAUGACCACGGCAGGCAUCAUUGAUGGUGGAAAGUUUUUUCGGUUGGGGAUGGGCUCGCGGCCUAUCAGUUUGUUGGUGAGGUAAUGGCUCACCAAGACGACGACGGGUAGCCGGCCUGAGAGGGCGACCGGCCACACUGGGACUGAGACACGGCCCAGACUCCUACGGGAGGCAGCAGUGGGGAAUAUUGCACAAUGGGGGAAACCCUGAUGCAGCGACGCAGCGUGCGGGAUGACGGCCUUCGGGUUGUAAACCGCUUUCAGCAGGGAAGAAGCCCUUCGGGGUGACGGUACCUGCAGAAGAAGUACCGGCUAACUACGUGCCAGCAGCCGCGGUAAUACGUAGGGUACAAGCGUUGUCCGGAAUUAUUGGGCGUAAAGAGCUCGUAGGUGGUUGGUCACGUCUGCUGUGGAAACGCAACGCUUAACGUUGCGCGUGCAGUGGGUACGGGCUGACUAGAGUGCAGUAGGGGAGUCUGGUCUUUCCUGGUGUAGCGUGAAAUGCGCAGAUAUCAGGAGGAA
This 640-nucleotide ribosomal RNA is filed under the name Brevibacterium linens. RNAcentral describes it as "bacterial SSU rRNA". It matches the Rfam family "Bacterial small subunit ribosomal RNA", at positions 64 to 706 of the family's 1533-position model. Lineage: Bacteria; Bacillati; Actinomycetota; Actinomycetes; Micrococcales; Brevibacteriaceae. The record is from RNAcentral.